Molecule: ribosomal RNA, 402 nt
Filed under: uncultured bacterium
Lineage: Bacteria
Description: bacterial SSU rRNA
Rfam family: Bacterial small subunit ribosomal RNA
Source: RNAcentral
UGGGGAAUAUUGCACAAUGGGGGAAACCCUGAUGCAGCGACGCCGCGUGAGCGAAGAAGUAUUUCGGUAUGUAAAGCUCUAUCAGCAGGGAAGAAACUGACGGUACCUGACUAAGAAGCACCGGCUAAAUACGUGCCAGCAGCCGCGGUAAUACGUAUGGUGCAAGCGUUAUCCGGAUUUACUGGGUGUAAAGGGAGCGUAGACGGAGCAGCAAGUCUGGAGUGAAAACCCGGGGCUCAACCCCGGGACUGCUUUGGAAACUGUUGUUCUAGAGUGCUGGAGAGGUAAGUGGAAUUCCUAGUGUAGCGGUGAAAUGCGUAGAUAUUAGGAGGAACACCAGUGGCGAAGGCGGCUUACUGGACAGUAACUGACGUUGAGGCUCGAAAGCGUGGGGAGCAAACA